This 484-nucleotide ribosomal RNA is filed under the name uncultured bacterium. RNAcentral's name for it is "partial 16S ribosomal RNA". It matches the Rfam family "Bacterial small subunit ribosomal RNA", at positions 30 to 507 of the family's 1533-position model. The record is from RNAcentral.
AUUGAACGCUGGCGGAAUGCUUUACACAUGCAAGUCGAACGGCAGCACGGGGGCAGCCCUGGUGGCGAGUGGCGAACGGGUGAGUAAUACAUCGGAACGUGCCCGGUCGUGGGGGAUAACGUAGCGAAAGUUACGCUAAUACCGCAUACGAUCUGAGGAUGAAAGCGGGGGACCUUCGGGCCUCGCGCGAUCGGAGCGGCCGAUGUCAGAUUAGGUAGUUGGUGGGGUAAAGGCCUACCAAGCCGACGAUCUGUAGCUGGUCUGAGAGGACGACCAGCCACACUGGGACUGAGACACGGCCCAGACUCCUACGGGAGGCAGCAGUGGGGAAUUUUGGACAAUGGGCGCAAGCCUGAUCCAGCCAUUCCGCGUGCAGGACGAAGGCCUUCGGGUUGUAAACUGCUUUUGUACGGAACGAAAAGGCUCUGGCUAAUACCUGGGGCUCAUGACGGUACCGCAAGAAUAAGCACCGGCUAACUACGUG